This 844-nucleotide ribosomal RNA is filed under the name Latilactobacillus sakei. RNAcentral describes it as "bacterial SSU rRNA". It matches the Rfam family "Bacterial small subunit ribosomal RNA", at positions 53 to 869 of the family's 1533-position model. The record is from RNAcentral. Lineage: Bacteria; Bacillati; Bacillota; Bacilli; Lactobacillales; Lactobacillaceae.
CGCACUCUCGUUUAGAUUGAAGGAGCUUGCUCCUGAUUGAUAAACAUUUGAGUGAGUGGCGGACGGGUGAGUAACACGUGGGUAACCUGCCCUAAAGUGGGGGAUAACAUUUGGAAACAGAUGCUAAUACCGCAUAAAACCUAACACCGCAUGGUGUAGGGUUGAAAGAUGGUUUCGGCUAUCACUUUAGGAUGGACCCGCGGUGCAUUAGUUAGUUGGUGAGGUAAAGGCUCACCAAGACCGUGAUGCAUAGCCGACCUGAGAGGGUAAUCGGCCACACUGGGACUGAGACACGGCCCAGACUCCUACGGGAGGCAGCAGUAGGGAAUCUUCCACAAUGGACGAAAGUCUGAUGGAGCAACGCCGCGUGAGUGAAGAAGGUUUUCGGAUCGUAAAACUCUGUUGUUGGAGAAGAAUGUAUCUGAUAGUAACUGAUCAGGUAGUGACGGUAUCCAACCAGAAAGCCACGGCUAACUACGUGCCAGCAGCCGCGGUAAUACGUAGGUGGCAAGCGUUGUCCGGAUUUAUUGGGCGUAAAGCGAGCGCAGGCGGUUUCUUAAGUCUGAUGUGAAAGCCUUCGGCUCAACCGAAGAAGUGCAUCGGAAACUGGGAAACUUGAGUGCAGAAGAGGACAGUGGAACUCCAUGUGUAGCGGUGAAAUGCGUAGAUAUAUGGAAGAACACCAGUGGCGAAGGCGGCUGUCUGGUCUGUAACUGACGCUGAGGCUCGAAAGCAUGGGUAGCAAACAGGAUUAGAUACCCUGGUAGUCCAUGCCGUAAACGAUGAGUGCUAGGUGUUGGAGGGUUUCCGCCCUUCAGUGCCGCAGCUAACGCAUUAAGCACUC